Molecule: ribosomal RNA, 502 nt
Filed under: uncultured bacterium
Lineage: Bacteria
Description: partial 16S ribosomal RNA
Rfam family: Bacterial small subunit ribosomal RNA
Source: RNAcentral
AUUGAACGCUGGCGGAAUGCUUUACACAUGCAAGUCGAACGGCAGCACGGGAGCUUGCUCCUGGUGGCGAGUGGCGAACGGGUGAGUAAUAUAUCGGAACGUAUCCAAUAAUGGGGGAUAACUAGUCGAAAGAUUAGCUAAUACCGCAUACGCCCUGAGGGGGAAAGCUAGGGACCGCAAGGCCUGGCGUUAAUGGAGCGGCCGAUAUCUGAUUAGCUAGUUGGUGAGGUAAAGGCUCACCAAGGCGACGAUCAGUAGCUGGUCUGAGAGGACGACCAGCCACACUGGAACUGAGACACGGUCCAGACUCCUACGGGAGGCAGCAGUGGGGAAUUUUGGACAAUGGGCGCAAGCCUGAUCCAGCCAUUCCGCGUGAGUGAAGAAGGCCUUCGGGUUGUAAAGCUCUUUCGCAAGGGAAGAAAACUUACCCUCUAACAUAGGGUGAGGCUGACGGUACCUUGAUAAGAAGCACCGGCUAACUACGUGCCAGCCGCCGCAGUAA